This 606-nucleotide ribosomal RNA is filed under the name uncultured bacterium. Its description in RNAcentral is "bacterial SSU rRNA". It matches the Rfam family "Bacterial small subunit ribosomal RNA", at positions 78 to 677 of the family's 1533-position model. The record is from RNAcentral.
UUGCUUCUUCUUUGAGAGCGGCGGACGGGUGAGUAAUGCCUAGGAAUCUGCCUGGUAGUGGGGGAUAACGUCCGGAAACGGACGCUAAUACCGCAUACGUCCUACGGGAGAAAGCAGGGGACCUUCGGGCCUUGCGCUAUCAGAUGAGCCUAGGUCGGAUUAGCUAGUUGGUGGGGUAAUGGCUCACCAAGGGGACGAUCCGUAACUGGUCUGAGAGGAUGAUCAGUCACACUGGAACUGAGACACGGUCCAGACUCCUACGGGAGGCAGCAGUGGGGAAUAUUGGACAAUGGGCGAAAGCCUGAUCCAGCCAUGCCGCGUGUGUGAAGAAGGUCUUCGGAUUGUAAGGCACUUUAAGUUGGGAGGAAGGGCAGUAAAUUAAUACUUUGCUGUUUUGACGUUACCGACAGGGGGAGCACCGGCUAACUCUGUGCCAGCAGCCGCGGUAAUACAGAGGGUGCAAGCGUUAAUCGGAAUUACUGGGCGUAAAGCGCGCGUAGGUGGUUCGUUAAGUUGGAUGUGAAAUCCCCGGGCUCAACCCUGGGAACUGCAUUCAAAACUGACGAGCUAGAGUAUGGUAGAGGGGUGGUGGAAAUUUCCUGUGUA